RNAcentral lists this ribosomal RNA (440 nucleotides) under uncultured bacterium. RNAcentral describes it as "bacterial SSU rRNA". It matches the Rfam family "Bacterial small subunit ribosomal RNA", at positions 954 to 1392 of the family's 1533-position model. The record is from RNAcentral.
GCUAAACGCGAAGAACCUUACCAGCCCUUGACAUCCCGGUCGCGGAAUCGAGAGAUCGAUUCCUUCAGUUAGGCUGGACCGGUGACAGGUGCUGCAUGGCUGUCGUCAGCUCGUGUCGUGAGAUGUUGGGUUAAGUCCCGCAACGAGCGCAACCCUUAUCGUAUGUUGCCACCAUUCAGUUGGGCACUCAUGCGAGACUGCCGGUGAUAAGCCGGAGGAAGGCGGGGACGACGUCAAGUCAUCAUGGCCCUUACGUGUGGGGCUAGAAACGUGCUACAAUGGUGGUGACAGUGGGCAGCGAGGUCGUGAGGCCAAGCUAAUCCCAAAAAGCCAUCUCAGUUCAGAUUGCAGUCUGCAACUCGACUGCAUGAAGUUGGAAUCGCUAGUAAUCGCAAAUCAGCAUGUUGCGGUGAAUACGUUCCCGGGUCUUGUACACACCG